RNAcentral lists this ribosomal RNA (742 nucleotides) under uncultured bacterium. Its description in RNAcentral is "bacterial SSU rRNA". It matches the Rfam family "Bacterial small subunit ribosomal RNA", at positions 8 to 796 of the family's 1533-position model. The record is from RNAcentral.
AGAGUUUGAUCAUGGCUCAGAACGAACGCUGGCGGCAGGCUUAACACAUGCAAGUCGAACGCACCUUUCGGGGUGAGUGGCAGACGGGUGAGUAACGCGUGGGGAACGUGCCCUUCAGUUCGGAAUAACCCAGAGAAACUUGGGCUAAUACCGGAUACGUGCGAGAGCAGAAAGAUUUAUCGCUGAAGGAUCGGCCCGCGUCUGAUUAGCUAGUUGGUGAGGUAAUGGCUCACCAAGGCGACGAUCAGUAGCUGGUCUGAGAGGAUGAUCAGCCACAUUGGGACUGAGACACGGCCCAAACUCCUACGGGAGGCAGCAGUGGGGAAUAUUGGACAAUGGGCGCAAGCCUGAUCCAGCCAUGCCGCGUGAGUGAUGAAGGCCUUAGGGUUGUAAAGCUCUUUCGUCCGGGACGAUAAUGACGGUACCGGAAGAAGAAGCCCCGGCUAACUUCGUGCCAGCAGCCGCGGUAAUACGAAGGGGGCUAGCGUUGUUCGGAAUCACUGGGCGUAAAGGGCGCGUAGGCGGCUUUGUAAGUCGGGGGUGAAAGCCUGUGGCUCAACCACAGAAUUGCCUUCGAUACUGCAUGGCUUGAGACCGGAAGAGGUUAGUGGAACUGCGAGUGUAGAGGUGAAAUUCGUAGAUAUUCGCAAGAACACCAGUGGCGAAGGCGGCUGACUGGUCCGGUUCUGACGCUGAGCGCGAAAGCGUGGGGAGCAAACAGGAUUAGAUACCCUAGUAGUCC